This 425-nucleotide ribosomal RNA is filed under the name uncultured bacterium. Its description in RNAcentral is "bacterial SSU rRNA". It matches the Rfam family "Bacterial small subunit ribosomal RNA", at positions 356 to 773 of the family's 1533-position model. The record is from RNAcentral.
GGGGAAUAUUGGACAAUGGGCGCAAGCCUGAUCCAGCCAUACCGCGUGGGUGAAGAAGGCCUUCGGGUUGUAAAGCCCUUUUGUUGGGAAAGAAAUCCUGCAGGCUAAUACCUUGCGGGGAUGACGGUACCCAAAGAAUAAGCACCGGCUAACUUCGUGCCAGCAGCCGCGGUAAUACGAAGGGUGCAAGCGUUACUCGGAAUUACUGGGCGUAAAGCGUGCGUAGGUGGUGGUUUAAGUCCGUUGUGAAAGCCCUGGGCUCAACCUGGGAAUUGCAGUGGAUACUGGGCCACUAGAGUGUGGUAGAGGGUAGCGGAAUUUCCGGUGUAGCAGUGAAAUGCGUAGAGAUCGGAAGGAACAUCCGUGGCGAAGGCGGCUACCUGGGCCAACACUGACACUGAGGCACGAAAGCGUGGGGAGCAAAC